RNAcentral lists this ribosomal RNA (253 nucleotides) under uncultured bacterium. RNAcentral's name for it is "partial 16S ribosomal RNA". It matches the Rfam family "Bacterial small subunit ribosomal RNA", at positions 524 to 776 of the family's 1533-position model. The record is from RNAcentral.
UACGUAGGUGGCAAGCGUUGUCCGGAUUUACUGGGCGUAAAGAGCGCGCAGGCGGUCGUUCAAGUCGCGUGUGAAAGCCCCCGGCUCAACUGUGGAGGGUCACGCGAUACUGAUCGACUCGAAGGCAGGAGAGGGUAGUGGAAUUCCCGGUGUAGUGGUGAAAUGCGUAGAUAUCGGGAGGAACACCAGUGGCGAAGGCGACUACCUGGCCUGUUCUUGACGCUGAGGCGCGAAAGCUAGGGGAGCAAACAGG